Molecule: ribosomal RNA, 527 nt
Filed under: Cantharellus cibarius (golden chanterelle)
Lineage: Eukaryota; Fungi; Basidiomycota; Agaricomycetes; Cantharellales; Hydnaceae
Description: partial 12S small subunit ribosomal RNA
Rfam family: Bacterial small subunit ribosomal RNA
Source: RNAcentral
CCAAGAAUAUUAGUCAAUGCUCGCAAGAGUGAACGAGCUAACUGAAAGAAUAUAUAAUCUAAAGUUAGGAAUCUUAUAAUUUUUAUUAUAAGUUUAAAGACGAAUCUAACUAACAGUGUCGUCCAAAUUCUGGUGCCAGAAGACUCGGUAAUACCAGAGACGCGAACGUUAAUCAUCUUGAAUGGGCAUAAAGGGUUUGUAGGCGGCUUAUUUAUUAAUAGGCUAGAAUCUUAUAGAGGUUAAUAAAAUACUUAGAGGAGGGCUGAUAUCCUUAGAUCCUAAGUGGAAUCCUAAUUGCGAAGGCCAUUUUCCACUACAGAUUGACGCUGAUACACGAAGGUUAGGAUAGGAACUAGGAUUAGAGACCCUAUUACCCCUAACUGUAAACGAUGAAUGGAAGAUAUUUACAACUGUAAGUGUCGAAGUGAAUACGAUAACCAUUCCGCCUUGCCAGUAUACUUGCAAAAGUGAAAACAAAAAAAUUAGUCGGUCCUAAAGCAAACGAAGUGAAGCAUGUUAUUUAAUUC